This 73-nucleotide transfer RNA is filed under the name Paramuricea clavata. It matches the Rfam family "tRNA". From Rfam's summary of the family: Transfer RNA (tRNA) molecules are approximately 80 nucleotides in length. Their secondary structure includes four short double-helical elements and three loops (D, anti-codon, and T loops). The record is from Rfam by way of RNAcentral. Lineage: Eukaryota; Metazoa; Cnidaria; Anthozoa; Malacalcyonacea; Plexauridae.
GACCGCGUAGCUCAGUUGGAAGAGCAUUGGGCUAGUAUUCCAAAGGUCGGAGGUUCGAAUCCCACCGUGGCCG